RNAcentral lists this ribosomal RNA (449 nucleotides) under uncultured bacterium. RNAcentral's name for it is "bacterial SSU rRNA". It matches the Rfam family "Bacterial small subunit ribosomal RNA", at positions 12 to 507 of the family's 1533-position model. The record is from RNAcentral.
UUUGAUCCUGGCUCAGAACGAACGCUGGCGGCAUGCUUAACACAUGCAAGUCGAACGAGACCUUCGGGUCUAGUGGCGCACGGGUGCGUAACGCGUGGGAAUCUGCCCUUAGGUACGGAAUAACUCAGAGAAAUUUGUGCUAAUACCGUAUGAUGUCGAAAGACCAAAGAUUUAUCGCCUAAGGAUGAGCCCGCGUCUGAUUAGCUAGUUGGUGAGGUAAAGGCUCACCAAGGCGACGAUCAGUAGCUGGUCUGAGAGGAUGAUCAGCCACAUUGGGACUGAGACACGGCCCAAACUCCUACGGGAGGCAGCAGUGGGGAAUCUUGCGCAAUGGGCGAAAGCCUGACGCAGCCAUGCCGCGUGAAUGAUGAAGGUCUUAGGAUUGUAAAAUUCUUUCACCGGGGACGAUAAUGACGGUACCCGGAGAAGAAGCCCCGGCUAACUUCGUG